Otolemur garnettii (small-eared galago) is the source of this 97-nucleotide non-coding RNA. NCBI's taxonomy places the organism in Eukaryota, Metazoa, Chordata, Mammalia, Primates, Galagidae. The record is from Rfam.
GUUUGCAGACAGACAGUAGUGAGUUAUUUCAAAGUUACAGAUGGAAGCUCUUGUUCUGUUCUUCCUCCCUCUUACUACUGCACUUGACUAGUCUUAA